This 210-nucleotide ribosomal RNA is filed under the name uncultured bacterium. Its description in RNAcentral is "partial 16S ribosomal RNA". It matches the Rfam family "Bacterial small subunit ribosomal RNA", at positions 568 to 776 of the family's 1533-position model. The record is from RNAcentral.
CGUGUAGGCGGCUCGUUAAGUCCGGUGUGAAACCUUGGGGCUCAACCCCAAGCCUGCACUGGAUACUGGCGAGCUCGAGUCCGGGAGGGGAGAGCGGAAUUCCUAGUGUAGCGGUGAAAUGCGCAGAUAUUAGGAAGAACACCGGUGGCGAAGGCGGCUCUCUGGAACGGUACUGACGCUGAGACGCGAAAGCGUGGGGAAGCGAAACAG